GCAUGUUGUUCUGUAACCAAAAAGAUACUUCUGGAGUUUGGCGAGUUUGGUGGAGUGUUGAAAGUGAAAUCCCUUUAGAUUCCAUACAUCUCUUGGUCUUGAAUUCCCAAUAGAUUCAUUUCUUCUACAGGUCUCGAAUUUCCAAUAGUUUCCAUUCUUCUACAGAUUUUGCCAUCCCCUUAGAUACCAUACUCCUCCAGGUCUCGAAAUCCUUUUAGCUUCCAUUCUUCUCCAGGUUUUGAAAUCUCUUUACAUUCCAUUCUUCUCCAGGUCUCAAAUUCCCUCUACAUUCCAUUCUUCUCCAGGUCUCAAAUUCCAUUUCCAUUCCAUUCUUCUCCAGGUCUCCAAUUCCCUCUACAUUCCAUUCUUCUCCAGGUCUCCAAUUCCCUCUACAUUCCAUUCUUCUCCAGGUCUCCAGUUCCCUCUACAUUCCAUUCUUCUCCAGGUCUCGAAUUCCCUUUAGAUUCCAUAGUUCUCCAGGUCUCCAAUUCCCUUUAGAUUCCAUUCUUCUCCAGGUCUCAAAUUCCCUCUACAUUACAUUCUUCUCCAGGUCUCCAAUUCCCUUUAGAUUCCAUAGUUCUCCAGGUCUCCAAUUCUCUCUACAGUCCAUAGUUCACCAGGUCUCCAAUUCCCUCUACAUUCCAUUCUUCUCCAGGUCUCCAAUUCCCUUUAGAUUCCGUAGUUCUCCAGGUCUCGAAUUCCCUCUCCAUUCCAUAGUUUUCCAUGAAAAGUGUAAUACUUACACUGUUGACUGCUGCGAGCAGCCGCGUUGAUCUGCCGUCACUUACUGAACUCUGGGUUGAUGAAGCCACUCCGAGUAAGUAAGUAAGUAAUUCCGAUUUGAGAGGGCUUUUAUUUAUUUUUUUAUAGUCACCUGUGAUUACAACACAGCCCUGCCCCCAAAAUGAGCCCAGAAUCAGUCCUGAGUGAGGACUCGAGUAUUCGGACCAACGCACCAAACUGAAGAACCUAAUUCUGG
This is a long non-coding RNA of Ictalurus punctatus (channel catfish), 979 nucleotides long. The record is from Ensembl. Lineage: Eukaryota; Metazoa; Chordata; Actinopteri; Siluriformes; Ictaluridae.